Molecule: transfer RNA, 72 nt
Filed under: Apopellia endiviifolia
Lineage: Eukaryota; Viridiplantae; Streptophyta; Jungermanniopsida; Pelliales; Pelliaceae
Description: tRNA-Gln
Rfam family: tRNA
About the family: Transfer RNA (tRNA) molecules are approximately 80 nucleotides in length. Their secondary structure includes four short double-helical elements and three loops (D, anti-codon, and T loops).
Source: RNAcentral
UGGGGCGUGGCCAAGUGGUAAGGCAGCAGGUUUUGGCUCUGUUAUUCGGAGGUUCGAAUCCUUCCGUCCCAG